RNAcentral lists this ribosomal RNA (280 nucleotides) under Pseudo-nitzschia fraudulenta. Its description in RNAcentral is "partial 28S ribosomal RNA". It matches the Rfam family "Eukaryotic large subunit ribosomal RNA", at positions 187 to 475 of the family's 3401-position model. The record is from RNAcentral. Lineage: Eukaryota; Bacillariophyta; Bacillariophyceae; Bacillariales; Bacillariaceae.
UUCCUGGAAAAGGACAGCUGAGAGGGUGAAACUCCCGUCCGCCUGGUAGGAUGAGUCUUUGUCAACGAGUCGAGUCGUUUGGGAUUGCAGCUCUAAUUUGGUGGUAAAUUCCAUCUAAAGCUAAAUAUUGGUGGGAGACCGAUAGCGUACAAGUACCGUGAGGGAAAGAUGCAAAGAACUUUGAAAAGAGAGUUAAAGAGUACCUGAAAUUGCUGAAACGGAAGCGAAGGAAACCAGUGUUUGUUGGUUCAUAUUUCCCUGGCCACUUGUGGUUUGGGCG